UGCCUGGCGACCAUAGCGAGUGGGAACCACCCGAUACCAUCCCGAACUCGGAAGUGAAACCGCUCAGCGCCGAUGAUAGUGCGGCCUCGCUGUCGUGUGAAAGUAGGUCAUCGCUAGGCGUUUA
RNAcentral lists this ribosomal RNA (124 nucleotides) under Nitrococcus mobilis. The record is from RNAcentral. Lineage: Bacteria; Pseudomonadati; Pseudomonadota; Gammaproteobacteria; Chromatiales; Ectothiorhodospiraceae.